RNAcentral lists this long non-coding RNA (1530 nucleotides) under Olea europaea subsp. europaea. The record is from RNAcentral. Lineage: Eukaryota; Viridiplantae; Streptophyta; Magnoliopsida; Lamiales; Oleaceae.
UUGUAAGUUUUUCUUUUUUGUUGUUUUUUGAAAAUAUCUAUUUUUAUUAAGUUAUAAAAUUUUAUGUGAAAAUUUUGUAAUUAAAUUUAAAUAUAUAAAUUUUUAUUUAUUUUUAAAACUACUUUAUAUUAAUAAUAUUGAAUAUUAAAUUUAUUGUUUAUCAUAUAUAUAUGUAUAAUUUUGAUUAUUAUUUAUUUAAUUAAGAUAUUAAAUUUUUAUUCUUUUAAAUUUUUUAUUAUAUGGGAAGAAGGAGGGGAAGAAAAAGGGGAAUUGGGGAAUACCAACAUCUCGUAUGUGAGAAUUUCACACCAUUAUAUUAGAUCUACAUGAAAUCUGUUUCAAAAGAAGGUCUUCAAAAGUCAUUCGAAUUCUACAAAAGUCUAUACAAAUUUUAAAAUGAAAGUCCAUAAAAGUUUAUGAAAGACGUUCACUAAUUCAAUACAAAUUUAUAAAUGAUCCACGAAAUCCACAAAAGUUAUCACUUAAAAAUAGUCCACCAAAAUCUUCAAAAGUCUCAGUUGAAUACAUCCCCGUUAACGUUGUUUUCAGGGUAAAGGUAAUUUAGAUACAAAUUGUGGGAGGCAAUCAGAUCAUUCGGACGAGACGAACAUUGUCAAGGACUUUUCAGAUGGCGAAAAUAUGAUGUUGACUAUAUCUGAGAUGGAAUCCGAGCCUAAUGAGGAGUGGAUUUUGGAUUCAACGUGUUCGUUCCAUAUGUAUCCCAAUAGGGCCUGGUUUGAAGCAUAUGAAAUGAUGAAGCAAUGUGCUAUUGUCAUGGAAAACAACAAAUCAACUGGAAUCGGAAGGGUCGAAUUGAGGUCGUUGAAUGGGACAGUAAGAACACUUAGCCAGGUUCAACAUGUUCCAGACUUAUGGAAGAAUAUCAUCUUACUGAAUACCCCUAGAUUCGAAUGGAUACACUUUCUCUGAUGGAGUUGGAGUCUUAAAGGUCUGAAAAGGCAUUCGGGUUGUACUGGAGGGAUGAAAAAAGUCUCAAUUGUACAUCUUGCAAGUAUUGGUGUUCAUGUUUUUCAGGAGUUUGAAGGUGUCAAGUCUAGCAAGGGGCCUUCAGUCAAAGUAUUUUGUGUAAAUUCUACUACAGGGUAUGCUUCGACCCUAUUUGAUAAAUUUUGAAUUCCGUGUGGAAUUUUGGAAACCCGGGGUUGCGUUUGGGUAUCAUUUGUGGAUGUUGUGGAAGAGUAGAACGUUUUUCAUGAGAUGUAGGAUUUUGGUUCUGAGUGAAGAGAUUUGUUUAUUACAUUGCAGUUGGACUUAUUUUUUUAGGUGGAGAAAUUUUGAAGUUUUGUUUGUUGUACCGGAAUUUGGGUCAAGGUAGAAAUUGUUAGAUUUUGUGACCUAAAUUAGGUUAGAUUUUUUGGAAAGUAAUAUUUCCUCUAUUUUCAUAUGAAUUUAUUGAAAAUAUAUUAUUUCCUUUAUUCCACACUAUUUUUGAUAUUAUUUCCAUCCUAAUGAUAUUUUUAGAGUUUGGUAUGUCCCUAUAAAUAUGUGGUUGUUCUAUUCAAUUUAGAG